Molecule: ribosomal RNA, 274 nt
Filed under: uncultured bacterium
Lineage: Bacteria
Description: partial 16S ribosomal RNA
Rfam family: Bacterial small subunit ribosomal RNA
Source: RNAcentral
AUACGGAGGGUCCAAGCGUUAUCCGGAUUCAUUGGGUUUAAAGGGUCCGCAGGCGGGAAAAUAAGUCAGUGGAGAAAGCCUACAGCUCAACUGUAGAACUGCCAUUGAUACUGUUUUUCUUGAGUAUAGAUGAAGUGGGCGGAAUAUAUCAUGUAGCGGUGAAAUGCAUAGAUAUGAUAUAGAACACCGAUUGCGAAGGCAGCUCACUAAACUAUUACUGACGCUCAGGGACGAAAGCGUGGGGAGCGAACAGGAUUAGAUACCCUAGUAGUCC